Molecule: ribosomal RNA, 462 nt
Filed under: uncultured bacterium
Lineage: Bacteria
Description: partial 16S ribosomal RNA
Rfam family: Bacterial small subunit ribosomal RNA
Source: RNAcentral
AGUGAACGCUGGCGGCGUGCCUAAUACAUGCAAGUCGAACGGAGAUUAAGUAGCUUGCUAUUUAAUCUUAGUGGCGCACGGGUGAGUAAUAUAUAGCUAACUUGCCCAUUACUAAGGGACAACAGUUGGAAACGACUGCUAAUACCUUAUACUCCGUAUCUAUAUAAUUAGAUACGGGAAAGUUUUUCGGUAAUGGAUAGGGCUAUAUCGUAUCAGCUAGUUGGUAAGGUAAUGGCUUACCAAGGCUAUGACGCGUAACUGGUGUGAGAGGAUGAUCAGUCACACUGGAACUGAGACACGGUCCAGACUCCUACGGGAGGGAGCAGUAGGGAAUAUUGCUCAAUGGGGGAAACCCUGAAGCAGCAACGCCGCGUGGAGGAUGACACUUUUCGGAGAGUAAACUCCUUUUCUUGGGAAAGAAUUAUGACGGUACCCAAGGAAUAAGCACCGGCUAACUCCGUG